UAGGUACAGAGGGCAGCUACCCAGCGAUGGGAUGCGAAUCUCGAAAGCCUAUCUCAGUUCGGAUCGGAGGCUGAAACCCGCCUCCGUGAAGUUGGAUUCGCUAGUAAUCGCGCAUCAGCCAUGGCGCGGUGAAUACGUUCCCGGGCCUUGUACACACCGCCCGUCAAGCCAUGGAAGCUGGGGGUGCCUGAAGUUCGUAACCGCGAGGAUCGCCCUAGGGUAAAACUGGUGACUGGGGCUAAGUCGUAACAAGGUAAC
Molecule: ribosomal RNA, 258 nt
Filed under: uncultured bacterium
Lineage: Bacteria
Description: partial 16S ribosomal RNA
Rfam family: Bacterial small subunit ribosomal RNA
Source: RNAcentral